RNAcentral lists this ribosomal RNA (459 nucleotides) under uncultured bacterium. RNAcentral describes it as "partial 16S ribosomal RNA". It matches the Rfam family "Bacterial small subunit ribosomal RNA", at positions 338 to 795 of the family's 1533-position model. The record is from RNAcentral.
CCUACGGGUGGCAGCAGUGAGGAAUAUUGGUCAAUGGGCGGACGCCUGAACCAGCCAAGUAUCGUGCGGGAUGAAUGCCCUACGGGUCGUAAACCGCUUUUGCACGGGGAUAACACCCUCCACUUGUGGAGGUCUGCAGAUACCGUGAGAAUAAGGGCAGGCUAAUUCCGUGCCCGCAGCCGUGGUAAUACGGAAGGCCCGAGCGUUAUCCGGUUUCAUUGGGCUUAAAGGGAGCGUAGGCGGGCGUUCAAGUCCGCUGUAAAAUCGCGCGGCUCACCCGCGCCCCGCAGUUGAAACUGGACGCCUUGAGUUCACAACAGGCAGGCGGAAUGCGUGGUGUAGCGGUGAAAUGCAGAGAUAUCACGAGGAACCCCGAUUGCGAAGGCAGCCUGCCGGGGUGCGACUGACGCUGAGGCUCGAAGGUGCGGGUAUCAAACAGGAUUAGAUACCCGGGUAGUC